ACUCAACUCCAUUUCUGUGCAAAUAUGAAAACAGAUUUCUUCUCUUUAAUUAUAUCAUAUCAUAACCAUCAUAAAAAAAUGCUGGAAAAUAUUCAAAACAUAUAUAGAUACAUAUACACAUUGUACAAGGUAAAUAAAAAUGUGUACUAUAUACCAAAUAAACAUAACCAAAUUAUCACUCAGAACCUAAAAACAAAACUCACUAUAUACAACAGGAAUUCGCUCAAUGAACAUUGGAACUUAUCCCGCGCCUUCAUUUUGGUCGACGGUGUCACUAUAGUCUUUGAAUGUAUCAAAAUACGAAAACAACAUUGA
Non-coding RNA from Vicia faba (fava bean), 315 nucleotides. NCBI's taxonomy places the organism in Eukaryota, Viridiplantae, Streptophyta, Magnoliopsida, Fabales, Fabaceae. The record is from the annotation of a GenBank genome assembly.